AUUAACCUUCUAUUUGAAACCCGACCCGUGUUAAAUUAUAAUUUGUUGCCCGGCCCGAAAACGACCUAACCUAGACAGCACCUAUAUAUAAACACAGCUUCUUGUUUCUACAAGGGUUUCAAGAUUGGCGGAAGAGAGUAAAAGAAGAUGCCGGCUGGUCACGGUCUCAGGUCGAGGACGAGGGAUUUGUUCGCUCGGCCAUUCAGGAAGAAGGGUUAUAUCCCCUUGACAACUUACCUCAGGACCUAUAAGAUCGGCGAUUAUGUGGAUAUCAAGGUCAAUGGCGCCGUUCACAAGGGCAUGCCUCACAAGUUCUACCAUGGCCGAACUGGACGCGUAUGGAAUGUUACCAAGCGCGCCAUCGGUGUUGAGAUGAACAAGCAGGUAUUGCUCACAGGCCUCUCUCUCUCUCUCUCUCUCUCUCUCUCUCUCUCUCUCUCUCUCUCUCUCUCUCUUUAUUUUCUUUGGUGAUUUCAGUAAGGAUUUCUUUUUGGAGUUCUGGUUAUUUGAUAUUCAUCUUGUUUAACAUUUCCACUUAUUUUGGUAUAAUCAUCACCUAUUGUUCCGUAGUUUUACGUUCUGUAUUGAAAAUGGUGAUUUUUGUUUGAGAAUCAAUAUAUUGUUGCAUCGCUUUUUCAUUAAUAGAUCCAGGUUAAAAAUCCGGUUUUACUUAAUUCAGUCCGUUUAGUGUGCUUAGUUCUCUUGUCGAGAAAUGAUUACAUAUUUGGUUGUUUAUUUAUUUAUAUAUUCAUUUCUAGGGGAACUGAUAAUUUGGGAAGUGGAUUAGAUAGCAAGCUGACAUAUUGCUUAUUUUUUAUGAAGAAAUUCGCGUUUCCAAUAUUCUUUAGUGACUUUCUUAAGUUAGUAACUUCUGAUAAUCAGUUAUAAUCUCAGUUCCUUUUACACUAUUUAUGCGAUAUGGAGGUUCAAAGUAUUCUAACUUACUUUGCAUUUUUUGGUUUCUGAAAAUUUGGUAUUUUAUUUAUUUUCAUGGGCUUUGGGGGCGUUUGUUUGGUGUUACAUUGUUUGUUUCCUUGCUUUCUCAAGGUGAUUAUUUUAAUUGCAGGCUGAAUCUUCUUUGCUAUAUUUUGUGGUUCUGAAAAUUAACCUUUGCUGUGAUUUUAUACAGCUUAACAUAUUUUGAGGUUUGUCAGCGGUUCUGGGUUUUAGGCUAUCAAGGAUUCUGUUCUUGUGCUGAUGUUGAAUUCAUCAUUUAUGGUUCUGGGUUUUAGGCUAUUAACGAUUGUGUUCUUGUGCUGAUGUUGAAUUCAUCAUUUCGGGUUCUGGGUUUUAGGCUAUUAACGAUUGUGUUCUUGUGCUGAUGUUGAAUUCAUCAUUUCGGGUUCUGGGUUUUAGGCUAUUAAAGAUUAUGUUCUUGUGCUGAUGUUGAAUUUGUCAUUUAGGGUUCUGGGUUUUAGGCUAUUAAGGAUUCUGUUUUGCUGAUUUUGAAUUCAUCAUUUACUUGAUUGUUUUAAGAUCACAUGCAUGUAUAUUAUGCAAUAUUUUAGAAAUAAAUUGCGGUCGGAUUUGCUUUAUAUUUGGAUGGUUGAGGAAGAUUUUAUGCAAUUGGCUUCAGGUGGGUAACCGCAUAAUCAGGAAGAGGAUCCAUGUGCGUGUGGAGCACGUGAUGCCUUCAAGGUGCACUGAAGAAUUCAAGUUAAGGAAGAUAAAAAAUGAUGAACUGAAGGCAGAUGCCAAGGCAAAGGGUCAGGUCAUAAGCACAAAGAGGCAGCCAGAGGGCCCAAAGCCAGGUUUCAUGGUAGAAGGUGCAACAUUGGAGACGGUCACUCCCAUCCCGUAUGAUGUGGUUAAUGAUCUCAAGGGUGGAUACUAGUUCUAUCACCAUCUCUUUUUGUUCUUUCCUGGUUCUUUUUUUGGUUCUUGUAGUUCUAAACUUUUAUGGACUCAUAUAAUGUUUCUUGAGUAGUGUUAUUUUUGAAGAGAGUACUUCAUGAAUUAGGGAUUAUUUGUAUCAUCUUUAAUGUUAAAACGAUGUUUUUCUUUGCAAAGUUAAUGUCUGAUGGGUUGCAGAAUGUUUACCAUUAACCCUUAUGAUCUUAGGGUUUGCAGAUUAUUCAGCUGAAAGGAUCAAAAGAUGGUUAUGGCCUAUAUAUAUAUACCUAUUAAAGGGGACUGCUCUUAUGUCUCUAAAGCUUUCUAUUAUUGGAAGAGAUAAAUUUGAUAUUUGUCUACAUUUCACUAUAUAUAUGUUUUUGGUGUUAUUUUACAAAAAAAAAAUUACUAGUUUUAAAUUUGUAUUCUUAUUAUCAUUAUAUCUUAUUUAAGUUUUAUAACAUGUUAAAAACUAGGCUCUAACAUUUUCUCCUGCAUAGUUGUACUUCAUCUAUCAAGGUAUAAUCUAUAUGUUUUAUCUCAAUUAAUUCAUUAUAUUAAUUUAAUAUUGUAAUAUUAUUUUUAUUAUUUUUAACAUCUCUACUUGCAUAUUAUUUUCAUAAUCAAAUUUUUUAUCUCAUCUUUUUUAAACUUGUGUGUAUAUAUUCCUUUCUUUUUUUUUUUUGUUUUUUGUAUUUUUAAAAACAGUCUCUUCUUAGUCUUGCUCUCUUUUGAGAUCCAAUUAAUAUCAUUUGAUUUUUCAUGUACUUUUUGAAAAAACAAAUCAAAAUUUUUCUUCUUCAUUAGAUCCAUCCAAUGUCACUUGUGAAUUGUUGAGGUAGCAGGUGACAUGUCGAGUGACCGCCACAUCGUUUAAAUUUGCCGAUUUGGACACCAUGUCAGCAGCGUAUCAACGCCUAUGUAAGCAAGCAAUUCUUUUUUUUUUUUUAUAAAUAUUUUCUUAACUAAGGUUUUGUUCUCUUAGGUUUUUAACGAUGCAACUUUUUAUAUUUUAAAAUACAUAUAAAAUAAAUUUUUUUUUUACGUUUUCAUAACCUUUAUAUGUCCAUCUCUCUCUCUUUUUUUUUUUUAAUUUUUUUUUACAACAUGUUAAUUUGUUAUUUAUUUUCAAUUUAAUUCAUGGCCUCUGUAAAUAUAAAUUGUAAGAAGUUUUAAGGAGUUCUUGAAUUUGAAUAGAAAAUAAUUAUUAUUCCAUUAACAUAAUUAUGUUCAUCUAUUAUUAUUAUUAUUAUUAUCGUCUUUAUAUUUUAGUCUACUUUUUUUUUUUUUAUCUACAUAGUUUUUUAAAUUAUCAUUUUUAUAUAUGUUUUAUGUGUAGAUAUUAUGUAUCUACACUACUGUUAAAAAAAAUCUUUUAAACCAUAUUAGUUUUGAUAUUUGGAUCUCAUUAAAUAUAUAAUUUAAAAUCUAUAUAUAUAUAUAUAUUAUCUUCUUGUAAUAUUUUUAUGUCAUAUUAAAAAAAAAAAUCAAUUGAUAUAUUGUUUUUAUUUAUGUUCUUAAAAUUGAUAAUAGUUUGCUAGCAGCAGAUGGAAAAAAUUUACAAAUAGAAUAUAUUAAUUAUUUUGUAGUUAAAUUAAAAAUUUUAUAAAUAUUGUAAAAGAUCGGAACUUAAAAAAAAAAUAAGGUCAUGAAUUAAAUGCGAAAACAAAAUAAUAGAGUUUAGGAUUUACAUUCCUUACAUAAUAAUUUAAAAUACCCAAUAAGGUUACGAGAAUGUACAUUCUAAAAAAAUUACAAAAAUCAAGAAAAUAAACAAAAAAUUAAUAACUGAGCAUUUUAGGACAACCUUCACUAACUUUUAAAGGGAGUUCGAGUGGUGAAUUAUUUACAACCAUCUUGCUGAUCGGGAUCUAGAUUUUGAUCCUCUUUAUUUGAAAUAGUUAAUGAAAGUGUGAGCUACACUAAUCCAGUAAGAAUAUCACACUACUCACCGAUACAGAAACUGAAAGUUGGUAAAAAUUAUAAAACAACCAAUGGAACUCUUAAUUUAAGUAAAUUUAUUUAUCAUAAGAAAAAUUAUUUAUUUUAUAUAUUUACUGUUGCGAGAUUUUUAAAAUCGAUCUAUAAAAAUAAUAAUCCAAAUAACAUUCUAAUAUUAUAUUCAAGUGAGCAAGAACAAUAACUUUUCCUUUUUGAUUUGCCUACUGGUAUCCCUAGGAGCUUAUAGGGAUGUUCUAUUACGCAUGAACCAAUAUUCAACAUUGUCAACUAACCGGUCAUCCCAAUACCUUAUCCGAUAUGAGUGUCAAAAAUAUCAAUCCUCAAUACUCCAUUUGGUAUGAGGGUGAAUCGGACUGUCUCCAUACCCCGUUCGGUAUGAGCGCCAAUAAAUACCAUUUCUUGAUAUCCCGUUCGAUAUGAGGUAACAUUCACGGUAGGGUUCUCUAUGUACCCAGUCUGUUCACCAUUAUCCAAAAUAUCCAGUAAAACUACUAUUCAUUAAUUCAUAUGACCAAUUAAUUUUCCAUUUACAUAUUAAUUUUCAAUUUCACAAAUCAACCGUAAAUAAAACAAGACGAGCAAUAUAUAUAUAUAUAUAUAUUGAGGAAGUACUACUGAAUCAUUCAGUUAUUUCAGUAUAUCAUCAUGUAUUUAACGCUGCAAAUUCAACAAUCAGUUAAACAUGAUAAUAAAUAAAUGACUAACCGGUAUUCAGCUCCAUUGGUAACUUGUAAGUAUUCUCACUUUUUAAAUUACACAAAAUAUCAUAUUACCGAUUAUUAAGUUUUAAUUUCAUAACAGAGAAUAAAGUGAGAGAUUUUUACCCGAAUCGGUGUCCGAAACAUCGAACUUUCUACUGCGCUUACUAGUAGUUCUUGGGUUUUCUGAAUUUUUCUAGAGAGAUUAAAACACGCUCCAUUUACCUAAAAAUACCACAAAAAAUCUAAAAUUAGUAUUAAAAACUUUUUUUAGCCAAUUUUAAAAUUUCGACACGGCGGCACUGCCUCCCGCAACAGCAGUUUACCUCGGCCUGCUCGUUUUCGGCUGGUUUUUUACUCAUCCAUACGAGAAAAUACGUUAGAGUGCCUCAGUUGGCCGAAAAAAGUUAAAAAAUAAAAACUACAUGUGACAAAAUUUUUCGGUACGUCAGCUCUACUGGCUCACCUUCGCGGAUAGACAUUUUUUUCGGUCAACCUGUAGAAAACAGAACGGUAAACACAAUGAUAGAAAAAUCUCAUGAAACAAAAAACGAGAAGGGGCUCAUCGGAGGCAGUUUCGAGUUUUACCAGCGGCAGCGUCGCCGGGCUUUGCACAGAGUUUUCGACUCAUCUGCCGUUCUUUUUACUCCGAUUUGGCCAUGGGGGUGCUCGAAAUUUUAACAUUUUUUGGCGUUUGUAGGUGGUUCUGGUGCUGCGGCGGACGGCGGUCGGCUCCCUUCUCUGGCGACUGGUUCUUCUUCUCCUGUAGGAGGCUGACGGUUAGGAUUUUGACUUCGGUGUGAUGCGAGAUAUUUAUAGCUGUCUCGUUUAAAUCUGAACCGUUCAUCGCGUUUGAUUUCGAUCAUUCAUCGCGACAGUCCGAUUGCACCUGAAGAGGGAAUGGAUUCGUAUCGUCCACGCACGUGGGAACGCUUCCAGAACGUCCAAUCGCGGGUACGCGGGUUGCUAGUAUGGCCUCCCGCAUGGCACCAAGUCAGCGUGCUUUGCCACACGGCGUGUUCCGAUUCGUCAGGGCUGCUGACUAGGUGGUCUUUUGUGGCAUAAUUUUUUUAAUUACUCUUUGACCCCCAGUUUUCGAUUUUUCUUUCAAAAACACCAACCAAAUCUAAAUUUUCAUCUAUUUUUCUCAAAAUCAUUUUCAAUUUCAUCAUCAAUUUAUUUUUCAUUAAUUUCACAUUAAAUAAAAAUUUAUUAUUUUUAAAAUUUAUAUAUUUUUUAAAUUUCAAAUUAAUCUCGGACCAAAUUUCGAGAUCGGAUAUUACAAAUAAAAGAUCACAAUUAUUUUCAUUGUUGAAAUAGAGAGAAAAGAUGUGCUAGUAUGGUAAAUUUUAAGUAUAAUUCAUUCUAUAUAAGUUUAAAUAAAGUUUUUUAUUAUAUAAAUAUAACAUAUUUUCAAAAAUGGAUAUAAAUCUGAAAUAUUAAAUAUUAAAGGUUAAAAAUUUUAAAAGUAAAAAAUUAAUUUAAAAGGGAGAGAGUAAUUUUAAUUUUUAGAAAUUAUUUUAUGAAAGAAAGGGACUUAUAUUAAAAUUUUCAUAGAAAAUACUAACUGAAACCCGACCCGGAAUGUAAAUUUUAGCCCGGCCCAUAAAAAUGAGCAAACCUAGAGAGCGACUAUAUGAACAACAUUUUCGCUUGCUUAGGGGUUUCUUCAAGAGCCGCGCGAGAGAGAGAACGUGGGUAAGAGAAGAUGCCGGCUGGUCACGGUCUCAGGUCGAGGACGAGGGAUUUGUUCGCUCGGCCAUUCAGGAAGAAGGGUUAUAUCCCUUUGACAACUUACCUCAGGACCUACAAAAUCGGCGACUACGUCGAUAUCAAGGUUAAUGGCGCCGUUCACAAGGGCAUGCCCCACAAGUUCUACCAUGGUCGCACUGGACGCGUAUGGAAUGUCACCAAGCGGGCCAUCGGUGUCGAGGUCAACAAGCAGGU
Molecule: long non-coding RNA, 6440 nt
Filed under: Carica papaya (papaya)
Lineage: Eukaryota; Viridiplantae; Streptophyta; Magnoliopsida; Brassicales; Caricaceae
Description: long non-coding RNA (CPAP_LNC006379)
Source: RNAcentral